RNAcentral lists this long non-coding RNA (11486 nucleotides) under Setaria italica (foxtail millet). Its description in RNAcentral is "long non-coding RNA (SITA_LNC001470)". Lineage: Eukaryota; Viridiplantae; Streptophyta; Magnoliopsida; Poales; Poaceae. The record is from RNAcentral.
UUACAUAUCCAACCUCGUACUAGAUUCUUAUUACGGAGUCGUCUUGCUAUUAAGCGGUUCCAGGGCCAUCUUGACUGUCUUCUUCCUUAUUCAUAAGCUUCGUUGAGACCGAGCAACCUUCUGUAGACUUCCCGCCUUCUUUGGUUGAAGUCAGCUAACUUCGGCUUCUGGUCACGGAGUUUUUCCGAAGCCGAAACGCUGAGAGCUCCACGGGGGGUUUAACUUUGCGAGUCCUUGCCUGCAGAACAACAAAAUGGACACCUUCGUGAUAGUUAACUUCGGUCAUUUAUUAGCUUCGUAAAGGGGGAGGCGAUGAGGUUAGGGUCGGUUAAGAGAAAGAGAGUCCCCGCCAGCGCCGUUCAGGGUGUGUUGUGGGGGCGGUCCCCAAUAGUAGCCCCUUCGUGGGCGAGGUCCGAGGCACCGUCGACCGAUCCCACGAAAAGUCCAAAAAUGCCCUCAAAACGUCACCCUGAAGGGCAGCGCGGGCCGAGGCGUUUUACCGUUAUGCGAGGGUAGCAAGGUCAUUUCUUAUGUGGCGGUUAAAGGUUCGAGGCAGUUUUUACCGUGCCUAUAAAAGGUUUGCCAGGAGAGGCAGGCCAUAUUUACGCUGUCGCUUUCGAGCUGCAUUUUUCGCCACCUUUUGCCUUCGCUGCGCAGCUUCGUUGUGCUUUAUUGUCUUCAUUUUCCUGGUGGGGUGUUGACUUCGUUUUUGUGGCAGUUAGCACCAGACUGAGCUGCAGACAAUGUCUUCUGAGGAGUUGGCCCUUCAGGUUGCCCCUGGUGGUGGAGGUAGCCCUGCUUUGCAGUCGGUGUCUGCGAGCAGUGGGGAAUCUGAGGGGAAGAGGUCAAAGAAGCGAAUCUAUACGAAGGAUGGUUUGGUUUCUCCUGAUGAGGGAUCUUCGUGGAGCAGCUCGCCUGACUGGUCAUCUGAUGGGGGCGAAGGUGCAGAUGAAAUGGGUCAAACCUCGAAGGGUACAGGGGAAGCCAAGAUUCAUGCUGUAUCCUCGGACGAGGCAGAAGGUAAAGGUGUCGACGAGGUUGAGGGUGAGGAGGAGGAGGAUGCUGAGGUUGAAGUGAGGUCGGGGGCAUCCGUCGGUGGGAAGGUUCCGUGCGUUCCUACGCUUUAUUUUGGGUGCUCCCAGGUGACCUCGCAAGAUAUUACACUUUUUGAGGAGAGCAACUUUUUCCCUAAGGGGAUGGGCAGAGCCCCUGGGAGCGAGGCAGUUCCGACGCCCGAGGUCGGCGAAGCUGUUGUUUUUAGGGAUCUGUUUACUCCGGGGCUUCGGUUUCCCUGCGAUAGGCAGCUACUGGUUAUACUGGAUCGCUAUCGUGUUAGGCUGCACCAGCUGGCCCCCAACGCCAUCGUGAACUUGUCUAAGUUCUAUUGGGUGCAACGCACGUUUGGCGGGAGCGUUGACGUGGAGGGUUUCACGAGGUUACAUGAGCUUCAUAUUUAGAAGAAAAGGACUUAUUCUGAUGAUGGCAAGGGGGUUUGCGAAAACCAUUUUGGUUGCUGUACCUUCGUGCCGCGCCGAAAGAACGAUAAGAGGAAUCUGCCGAGGGUAGAACUUACCUUCGCGCAGAGGAACAAGUGGGAUGACGCGUGGCUGACGCACUGGUUUUAUGUGAGAGUCGAGAUGGCCGACCUUGGUAGUGGAUUUCCAUUCUAUGCGCAGUUUGGGCCGAUGGACGUGCUGACGACUCCUUCGUUUAUCCAGACAGCCAUAGUGACAAAGUGCGAAGCUGCCUAUAGGGUUGCUGGGCCCUUGAUAUCUGGGCGAGAUCUUGUGGAGGAGUUCGUCGCUGCUCGAGUGUGGCCCUUGUCUACCAAUUUUGCGAAGCCACUUAAGCUCGCCGAGAAGAAAGUUUCUAGGAGCGAGAACGCUGUGCCGUUCCCUUAUUUUGAGCUUGACAAGGAUGAGGUUGGCAACUUAGACCUGUUUGUACAGUCAGUGGAGGACAUGGCUUACGAGAUUUUGGGUCCGGUGACCCAGCCCGAGAGGCGCUCUUUCGAAACUGUUGUGAGCCAUGGACAGCGUGUCAACCGGGUUUUUGAUUUGCUUGACAACAUAGUGCCACCUCGUCCCGAAGUUAUGGGCAAGAGGCGCCAUCGGGGUGCUGGUGUUGAGCAGAGGAAGAAGGUGAAAUUUGAUUCUGCUCGCACGACGAAGCUUGCUGUUGAGUCACAAACAGCCGCGAAGGCAAAACAAAAAACCCUCAACUUGGAAGCGCAGAAGACGAAAGAUGCUACUGCAGGAGCUUCAUCUGUCGUGCUGCCAUCUAGGUCGAUGGCUUCAUCUGUUGACUUGAGCAGGUCAGCAUAUGUUGUGCCUGUUUCCGUGCGUCCUCCUUCUGAUGCGCCUUCAUCCGCCGGCCCUGAUGCUCGGACUAAAAAAGGGGCUAACAAGCCUCGUUUCGCACGCGUUAUCGUACCGGGUGCUAAGGCCGAUGCGCCUUCGGGGGUCAGUAGCAAGAUUGUACCUUCUUCCACAAGCUCAAAGGCUCUUUUGGUUGAAACCGGGAAGCGUGAGGAGAGGGUAGCUGCCGAAAAGGCAAAGCUUGUGGACGCGUUCUCUUCUGAUCCUAAGGGUGCUAGUGCCGAGGCUAUUAGAUCUGGUAAGCAUGUAGAGGUGGUUUUGCCGAAGCUUCGGUUCUUUGAUUGCGGGCGGGCUUUGGCGUCAUUUUUGAAGGAUUUGGAGGCAACUAAGGGGGAGGUUGGCGAGGUUAGUUGUGAGGAUCAUGUAAGGCUGAAAGUUAAAUGUUAUGAUAUAGGUGAGAGAUUGCCGGCUGAUCUGCAAUGGCUUAAUGAAGGUCUGGGCUUGAGCGGGCGCACGGAGGUUCUAGCGACGUGCGCUGAAGGUAGGGUUUAUAAUCCACAUAACCUAAUUUUGGACUGGGGGAAGGAGGGUGAGGAUUGCAAGCGCUGUGCAAAUGCCGGAGGUUCGAAGAAGAUGGAGAAAGCGGGUGCGGUGGCUUCGGGUAGGGGGAAAGAAAUUGUUCCAGUCGCCAUCGAGGCGCGGGGGUACGAAGGUAAUGGCUACUUGUGAGUGAUUGUUGUUUGUAGACUUCAUUGUUGUCGUGGUGUACUUAUGAUUGUAUGCUUGAUUCACAGAUUUUCAGCAAUCUGUGAAGUCGAUGAGCUCGGAGGAGCUUUUCAACUUGGAGGCUAACCUCGUGAAGAAGGUAUGGCUACUAGUCGAUUUGAUGAUACUUGUGAAGUUUACUAGCUUUGUUGCGUCUGCUGCGACUUGGUCUGAUGUUUUUGUUUGGAUUUUGCAGAUGUCUUACUCGUCUAUGAUUACAAGGGAUCGGCUUGUCAAUAGCGAGAAGUCAGCUGCAGAGCUUGCGAAGAAAGUGGCUUCACUUGAAGCGACUAUUGCGGCUAUGUCCCUGGAGAUGAAGAAGGUCAAGGUCGAGAAUGCGGAGUUGAAAGAGGACUCUCGCAGACUUGGCGAAAAUUACGAAGCCAGGGGCGACGAGCUCGAUCGCGUGUCAUCAGAAUUGGUGGAUCUUGAAAAGUUAGUUAAAGAGAAAGACAAAAUUAUCCAAGACUUGCGCGAAGGUGCCCAGCAGGACAGUGAGGUUAUCUCGGGUUUAAAAGCUAAGGUUGGACAGAUGGAGCCUGAGCUAGAAACAAGGGCAAAGCUGUUGAGCCAAAUAGAAACUACACUGAGGGAGAGGUUCGAAAAGGUUCAUGAAGCUUACAAGGCCUCCCUUGGUGUGUUUGGCUCCGAACCCGAAGAUUGCCCAUUGGACGAGGGAUGUGAGCGCAUGUUUGAAUGGUUGUUAGACGAGGUCAAAAGUCUCCCCGAGGUUCUUGAGGGCCUGAACGACUACUCCGCCGUGUUCUGCCUGGAAAGCGCCCUUCACCUGCUGGAGCAACAAGGAUGCGAGCAUAUUUAAAACAUUUCCGAGGAUAGUUAUGUUGCGCCGGCUGCCCAAGAUAUUGGAUGCGCCACGAAGUCUUUCGUUAUGGAAAAUGUGAAGAAGAAUUUAUUCGAGCGUAUGUGGUCGUCCUCUGGGCAGGAAUACGUGAAGAGGCUGGCUUGCGAGCAAUUAGCUCAGCUUCGUUCGCAGCCUAGCGCUACUAGCGAAGAGGGGCAUGCUGCGGAGUAGAUCUUUUUAUUUAUGGACCUAUUUUUUGUCUUUUGUUUUUAUAUAAAGAUGAUGAGGUCAAAUACUUUUAAUUGUGUAUGAAGUUACGCCUUAUGAAAUAUUCGUGUGCCUGUGUAUCUUGCUUAAAUUGCUGUAGUUUAGCUGCGCUUAUUCGUGGGCCAACUGCCAGUUUAGAUAAGUCGAAGCUGGGUUGCCAUGCGGGCCAACCCGCUGACUUAGUUGUUGCGAGAGCUGGUUGAUACAGCGACUUGCAGUUGCUUCAACCAUAACUGUAUGCGUCGCUGGGUGUGGUGACUUCGUGUGAGGUUGGUGUGGCGACUUGUUUUUGGAAGUGGAUGUACUUGGAGGUAUUUUCGAAAAACGUCACCCCCCUUUUACGACAUUGCGAGAGAGAGGUUAGAUAACUUGUGCUUGCGGACUCUCCUCUUGCGAGGUCACAGAAACUUUCCGCGUUCUUUCGAAAAAACGUUGUUGGAGCUCUGUCGAGGCUGUAUGCGAGAAGCUUGUUUUGUGCAUGUUGGAACGCGAUUUUGUACAGCUUGUUGCUUGCUUCCCAAAUGAAAAACUCCUCCGUGGACUGGCGCGAGGUCACGCAACUUGUUGUUGCUUUUUGAAACGAGAGACUCCUUCGCGCACUGGCGCGAGGUCACGCAACUUGUUGUUGCUUCUCAAGCGAAAAAGUCCUCCGCGCACUAGCGCGAGGUUACGCAACUUGUUGUUGCUUCUCAAGUGAAAAACAUUCUUAGGGGAAAUCUUUUUCCUUUCUUUGUAGGAAAAGGUGUACAUGGAUCUGCCUCGUUAAAAACCUUGCCUCCGUUAUGGAGCCCCUAGCAAAGAAAAGAGUGCAGACUAGACUCUAUGACCUUACAAACGGGGUAAGCUUAAAAGAAAGAAAAAAGGCAAAAUUACUUUGUUGCCUUCGGCACUGCUUAUAGUUUCACAGGCCGAAGGUAACGUGUACAGUUAUGGGUAGUAUUUUCGUAAACUGUCAAUGUUCCAGGUGUGUGGGAGAGCGUUUCCUUGUUGGUCUGUGAGAUGGGAGGAGCCGGGUCUGCCAGCCUUUGUGACAAUGUAGGGGCCUUCCCAGGCCUCUUACAGUUUGCCUGGGUUUUCCCAAUUCUUCUUCCAUUUGAUGACGAGGUCACCGACAUUGAUCUGUCUUUCUCGAAUGCGUUGAUCCUUCCAUUUUUGGGUUUCUUCCUGGUAUUUGUCCAGGUUCUCAAUGGCCUCAUUGAUGUCAAGCUCGAUCAUGUCUUUCUCUAUUCUGGCGAUUUCAUCGAUGUCACCGUGCUUGAGGACUCUUAGGCUUUUGUUUUUUAUUUCUUCAGGUGUUACAGCUUCGGCCCCGAAUAAGAGCUUGAAUGGGGUGAAGCCUGUUGCUCUGGAUUGUGUUGUGUUGUGGGACCAUAUGACUCUUGGGAGCUCGUCGAUCCAUUUGCCCUUUUUCUGAUCGAAGAGACAUUUCUUGACUGCUGUAAAUAUCGUGCUGUUGGCUCUUUCCACAGCUUCGUUUGACUGCGGGUGGUAUACGGACGAGAAUUUUAUCUUCGUGCCUAUGCUAGUGCAAAAGUUCGUGAAUGAGAUGCAAUCAAACUGCUUGCCAUUGUUGACGGUUAGCUCCCUUGGGACUCCGAAGCGACAGACAAUGUUUUGCUAGAAAAUUUUUUGCACCGAGGCUGACGUGAUGACGGCAAGUGGCUUGGCUUCGGCCCAAUUAGUGAAGUAGUCUAUUGCCACUACUGCGAACCUGCAGUUUCCUUGUGCUGCUGGAAGUGGGCCAACUAGGUCCAUCCCCUAUCUUUGGAGAGGCCACGAGGGUGGUAUGAGCUGGAUGGGGAGUGAGGGUGCAUGUGUUUGCCUUGCUGUUUUUUGGCAUGCUUCGCAGCUUCGUACAAGUAGGUGUGCGUCCGUGUGGACUGAUGGCCAGCAGAACCCUUGUCGGAUUGCUUUUCUUGCCAGGGCUCUUGAGCCAAUGUGAGCUCCACAGAAACCGCCGUGUAUUUCUUUGAGCAGUUCACUGCCUGUUUCGUAGUCGACGCACUGAAGCCACAGUGUUGAGAUGCCUGUUUUGUAUAGUUGCCCCUCAAUGAUUGCAGAGCCCCUUGCUCUUUGCUUUAGGCGUGUGCGUUCAGCUUCGUUCUGGGGUUCAAAGUGGCCUCUGAGGAAAGCCAUUAUGCUUGUGCGCCAAUCGUAACGCUGGAUGGCGUUGAUGGUGGCUGGGUCUUCUUGUUUGAUUGAAGGCGAAGUUAUGACUUCGUAAAAUGUAUCUGAUGGAAUUGGCUCGCCUUCCGCUGCUGCCUUUGCGAGCUUGUCAGCUUCGUCAUUUUGUGCUCUCGGUAUGUUUCUGACAUCAAACCCCUUGAAAUGUUUCUCCAUGGCUCGGACUACCUUGAGGUAUUUGAUAAGUUCUGGUUCUUUGGCUUCGCUGUCUUUCUCAAUAUGAUCACGGAUUACCUUCGAGUCCGUUCUGAUGACGAAUGUUUGCUGCCCUAUGGCUUUCAUUUUUCUUAAGGCCAGGAGCAGUCCUUCAUACUCUGUGGUGUUGUUGGUUGACUUCGCAGUUGGUGGGAAGUCUAGCCUCGUUGCGUACUUGAUUCUGACGCCUGUUGGCGAGGUGACCACCGCUGCGACACCUGCUCCUUUACGGCACCAUGCUCCGUCACAGUGGACGACCCAUGGUGUUUCUAGGUGCUUUGGUUCUUGCUUAGGCGAGGUCCAAUCAACGACGAAGUCAAACAGCACUUGGGAUUUUAUAGCCGUGCGCCUUUCAAAAUCGACGACAAACUCCGAGAGCUCAGACGCCCAUUUGGCGAUGCGGCUAGAAGCUUCUCUGUUUGAGAAGAGAUCAUGGAGAGGUUGGCUGGUUACCACGACUAUUUUGUGCCCCUCAAAGUAAUGUCGUAGCUUCCGUGCUGCCAUGACAACCGCAUAUGCGAUUUUUUCUAAUUCAGAGUAAUGCAUCUUUGAGCCGCUCAAUGCCUCGGAUGCGAAGUAAACUGGUAUCUGUUUGAUUUUGCCUUCGAUUUCUUUCUCUUGGAUCAAUACAGCACUGACAGCUGUUGUUGAUGCUGAUACGUAAAGCAGCAGCGGUGACUUGGGCUCUGGUGGGCAUAGCUUCGUAAUGGAAUGCAGGUAUUCCUUAAGGUCCUGGAAUGCUCUGCUUUGCUCGUGUCCCCAUUCAAAUGUUUUGGAGCUUCGGAGUGUUUUGAAGAAAGGAAGGCUUCGCUCUGCUGCUUUCGGAAUGAAAUGGUUUAGUGCUGCGAUCCUACCAGUGAGCCGUUGUACCUACUUGAGUGAUGUUGGCUCUGACAUGUUGGCUAGCGCCGUGAUUUUGUCUGGGUUGGCCUCAAUGCCCUUCGUGGUUACCAAGCAGCCUAAGAUCUUUCCCCUUUGGACUCCGAAUACGCAUUUGUCUGGGUUUAGCUUUAAGUUGGCUGACCUCAGGUUAGCGAAUAUUUCUGUGAGGUCCAUGAUGUGGUCACUUCGUUUAGCGCUCUUUACGAUGAUGUCGUCUACAUAGGCCAAGAUAUUGCGCCAAAGCUGACUGUCUAGGACUGUUGCUGUCAUUCUUGAGAACGUUUGGCCUGCAUUUUUUAGCCCCUUUGGCAUACGGACGAAGCAGAAUGUUCCGAAGGGUGUCACAAAACUUGUUUUGCCUAUAUCUUUUUUUUUAUUCUGAUCUGGUGGUACCCCGAGAAGAGGUCAAGUAGCGAGAGCAUUUCACUGUUUGCAGCGUCAUCUACCACCUUGUCAAUUCUUUCGAGAGGGUAGUCAUGUUUUAGGCAGGCCUUGUUGAGGUCUGUGAAGUCUAUGCACAUUCUCCAUUUCCCAUUUUUCUUUUUAACUGGCACUAUGUUGGCUAGCCAGUCGGGGUACUGGAUUGGCCUGAUCACAUUGGCUUCAAGUAGCCUGUCAACUUCGGCCUUUACUGCUUGGACCUUCUCGUCGGACAUUUUUCUUAGCUUCUGUUUCUUUGGCUGAGCUCCUUGUCUGAUGUCGAGGCUGUGCUCAAUGAUUUCCCUGUCCACUCCCUUUAGAUCAGUUGCAGACCAAGCGAAGAUGUCUUUGUUCUUGUUGAGGCACUCGACGAGGUCACGCUCUUCAUCUGGGUUGAGAUUCGCCCCAACUGUGACGAAUCUGUCUGCGAUGUACCCGUCUAGAAGUACCCGUUUUGUUUCACCGUCCGCACUGAUUUUUACCUUCUCUUUAUCUCUUUUAGGCUCAUCGUGGGCCUUUUGCUUUGCUAGGCUUUCGGCUUCGUUUGACGAGGCUAGAUGGUGGACGUUCUUUUGGCCCGGAGCUACCCCUUUUUCUAUGUUCCUUGCCAUUUGCUGAUCACCGUACACCGUUAUGACCCCUCUGAGGGCGGGUAUUUUCAUGCAUAGGUACAACUGUCUAAUUGUUGCGUUCAUUUUGGUGAUGAAGCCACGACCGAGUAUUGCGUUGUAGGGGUAAUGCAUCUCCACCACGUCAAAGGUGAUGUGUUCUGUCCUCGCAUUAUCACGGUCCCUGAACGAAACGGGAGGGCAAUUUUUCCCAAGGCCUUCACUGGCUUUCCGCCGAAGCCGAGGAGCGGGACGUCAGCUGGGUCGAGCGUGUUCAUGUCAAUGUUCAUUUCUCUGAAUGCAUUUGCGAAGAGAAUGUCCGCGGAGCUGCCUGUGUCUACCAGGACUUUUCCUACCGUCCAGCCGGCUAUCAGUGCUUUGAUGACCAUCGCAUCGUUAUGCGAGGUUGUCUUGAGCUUGAAAUCUUCUCCGGUGAAGGUUAUGGGCAUGUGUGCCCAUUCUGGCUUUGCUGGAGGUCCAUCGGGAAUGAUCACGUUGACUUCUCUGAAGUAGUUCCGUCUCUACCUCUUGUUUUCAAACUCUAGUGAGGAGCCCCCGGCGAUUGGCAUUAUCAUCCCGAAGGUGGGCAAGGAAUUUUGGUUGUUAUUUUGUGUAUUGGGUUCCGGCUUGGGCAUUAUGGCUGGCAUGCUUGGGGGUGGAGGUAGUGUUUCUUGGGGCUUUUGAGGCGGGUUGAGAUUGGGGUGCUGUGGGAUUGUUUGGUGGUAGGGCUGUAUGUGUGGUGGAAGAGGCCAAGUCAUCGGUUGCGGGAAGUUGGCGAAGUUGGGCUGAUUGUGAUAGAAGGCUGGGUGUGGGUAAAAAGCUGUGUGGUGGAUUAUUUUGGCUGCUUGCGCGGCUGCCUUCGCAGCUUCUUCCACAGCUUUUCUCUCUUCAUCCUUCUUUUUGGGGCACCACUCUGUGUUGUGAUGAUUCUGAUGGUCGUGGUUGACACAGUAAAAUGACUUUUGUUGUCUGCCUCGACCUCGUCCUCUGGCAGAGUGGCCCCCUCUUUGGGUGCUGUUGUUUUGGUUUUGGCUCUAGUUUUGGUUUUGGUUUCCCUCGAUGUUCAUGAUUCGGUUUUGGUUUUGGUUUGGAUUUUGAGGCUUGUUGUAAGGCGAAGGUUGCCAGCUUCGGUUUUGGUUUGUUUGUCUCUCUUUGUUGCGUUCCGCCACUCUUCUGCGAUGGUCCUCGUCGGACCUAAUGUAUUCAUCGAGUUUGCUAAAGAGGGCAGUCAUAGUUUUAGGCUCCUUCCUUGACAGUUUUGACGCUGUUGGGCCGGGGGUUAGGCCCGCGAUGCAAGCGGAUAUUGCUACAGAUUCCUCAAUGUGCGGUGCUUGAGAACGAAGUUGGACGUAUCUUCUUACAUACUCUGCAAGUGGUUCCUUGUCCUUUUGCUUGCACUGAAAAAGGUCUGCCUAGGCCGUGUGAGGGUGGUGGAAACCCUGGAAAUUUUGAGUGACCUUCGUCUUGAGAUCGUGCCAGCUGAUUACCGUGUGUGGAGAGAGCAGUGAAUACCAGUUCAGCGCCGCGCCCUCGCAAGCAAUUAUGAAAGAUUUGGCGAGGACGACAUCAUCCCCUAUGGCCGAAGCUACAGCGGCUUCGUAACUCAUUAAGAAUUGCCGUGGGUAUGUGCGCCCGUUGAAUUUGGGCAAGGUGGUUGGUUUGUAAGUUGUUGGCCACGGUGCAGUUUGUAGCCCUAUUGAGAGCGGCGAUGUUGUGUCGACCACAAAGGACACCCCCGGCGAGUGGUGCUGGGUGCCUUGGCCAAAGUUGAGGCUCGGCUGGAGUUGUGCCUGAUCGACAGUGGGACUUUGAUAAAGAUAAGUUGCGGCCUGGUUUGCAUUCUUGAGUGGGCUUUCGAGCUCCGCGACUUCUUUCUGUAGUGCUUCUAGUUGCCGCCUGGCUUCGUUCAACUUUGAUAGCCUGGCCGCAGCCUCUUUCUGGUGUUGCACUUGUUGUGCCAACUGCUCCUUUUUUCUUUUGACCUCUUCUAUCUCUCGGAGGACUGAAUCCAGUUCGUUGUCCAGGAUGGAGGGGCCAGUAGCUUCGGGUGUUGUGGGCUGGUGGCCGUCAAUGCGGUUGGCAGCUUCGUUUGCCAUGGGUUGGUGGCUUUGGUGGUUGACUUCGUCUGCGGGCUAGUUGCUCAUUGCCUUAGCCCUCGGGGCUUGUUCGACUCUUGCAAGACGUUCCUCCUUGUCGGGGAGGACUUGUCGGGGAGGACUUGAUGUGUGGCUUCGGGGACCAUGAGCUGGUUGGCCUCUUCUGUGUUGUCUUCCCUCUGAGCUGCGGGUCUCUUUUUACGUUGUGGUGGCAUCGUGGGCUGUUUAACAAGUUAGACCGUGGUGGGCACCAAAUGUUGGGGUCCUCCCAUACAAUAGUAAGAGUAUUAUGACGAACGAAGAUAACGGUCGUUCAAACAAACGUUACAGUGGCUGUCCUAUCGAUGAUUAAUGCCCUCCCGGGAGGACAAUUCGUCUCCCUUUAUAGAGUCAUAAAGUUACAUUUUCGCAUCCCCGUUAUACCCAUACUCAACCACUACAUCCUAAGAAUAUUCCGUACAAGACAGUAACUUGGUACCUAUUCAAAACGUCGCUUUCACGGUAAAAUUACAUAUCCAACCUCGUACUAGAUUCUUAUUACGGAGUCGUCUUGCUAUUAAGCGGUUCCAGGGCCGUCUUGACUGUCUUCUUCCUUAUUCAUAAGCUUCGUUGAGACCGAGCAACCUUCUGUAGACUUCCCACCUUCUUUGGUUGAAGUCAGCUAACUUCGGCUUCUGGUCACGAAGUUUUUCCGAAGCCGAAAUGCUGAGAGCUCCACGGGGGGUUUAACUUCGCGAGUCCUUGCUUGCAGAACAACAAAAUGGACUAACUUCAGUCAUUUCUUAGCUUCGUAAAGGGGGAGGCGAUGAGGUUAGGGUCGGUUAAGAGAAAGAGAGUCCCCGCCAGCGCCGUUCAGGGUGUGUUGUGGGGGCGGUCCCCAACAAUACGAAAGCUUGUUGUUACCUGAUUCAAUCGCUGUGGAGAUUGAAGUAGCCUGCAUCUGAAAAAC